UACAGAGGGUGCGAGCGUUAAUCGGAAUUACUGGGCGUAAAGGGUGUGUAGGUGGUUGUGUAAGUUAGAUGUGAAAUCCCUGGGCUCAACCUAGGAACUGCGUUUAAGACUGCGUAGCUAGAGUAUUGUAGAGGAUAGUGGAAUUUCCAGUGUAGCGGUGAAAUGCGUAGAUAUUGGAAGGAACACCAGUGGCGAAGGCGACUAUCUGGGCAAAUACUGACACUGAGACACGAAAGCGUGGGGAGCAAACAGG
Molecule: ribosomal RNA, 253 nt
Filed under: uncultured bacterium
Lineage: Bacteria
Description: partial 16S ribosomal RNA
Rfam family: Bacterial small subunit ribosomal RNA
Source: RNAcentral